AUAAAAAACCAACUAAAUUAGACACUAACAUAUCUUUUAUCAGACUCUGGGAUGAUGGAUAUUAUUAAAAUUCUAUCGAUAAAAAAUUAAAAU
Molecule: small RNA, 93 nt
Filed under: Arabidopsis thaliana (thale cress)
Lineage: Eukaryota; Viridiplantae; Streptophyta; Magnoliopsida; Brassicales; Brassicaceae
Description: ATSL150100
Source: RNAcentral